Sander lucioperca (pikeperch) is the source of this 510-nucleotide long non-coding RNA. RefSeq lists it as uncharacterized. The record is from RefSeq and is a predicted model, not a curated record. The transcript is spliced from 3 exons. Lineage: Eukaryota; Metazoa; Chordata; Actinopteri; Perciformes; Percidae.
AAGCAACUAAAAUUCAACAAGCGUCAACUGUUGAGGCUUUAAACCUCCUUGAUAGAUCCCUCGACUCCCUGGAGGAAAAACAGAAGCUGAUUAAUGCCUUGUCCAGGGUGGGAGGAGUCCACUUGAAAGACAAUGUUAAAAGGGUCAUGGAGAAAGAGUGUCCAGAGGACGACUGCAGAAACGGAGGCAAGCAUUGCAGCGGCUGUCGCCUUCUGUUUGAAAUAUGCCCCAGACAGGGUGGGCGGAGGUGGAAGAAAAAAUAAUGUUUCUGAAGUUUAAUUUUUUUUUUAGUUCAUAAGUGGGGUCUGAGUUCCGGACAGUUUGUUGAGUUUUGUUAAAAAAUUAGUUUUCUUUCAUUUUUCAAACAUUAUACCUGCUAAACACCUGCAUGUUAGCAUUGAACUUGUGAGCAUGUUUCCAUAUUAGCAUUAAGCUCAAAAUACCCAAGUGCCCCCUAAGUAGACUACAGCUUCAAGGAGCAUUUUCAUUCUGUUUGCCACCAUAAGUAGC